RNAcentral lists this unclassified non-coding RNA (170 nucleotides) under uncultured Tremellales. RNAcentral describes it as "sequence contains ITS2". Lineage: Eukaryota; Fungi; Basidiomycota; Tremellomycetes; Tremellales. The record is from RNAcentral.
AGACUUCAACCCCUCGGGUUUUGCUCGAGGAUGUUGGACUUGGGUGCUGCCGUGUCUUCGGCUCGCCUCAAAUGUGUCAGUGGUAAUCAGACCUUUGACAGGAGUAAUAAGUUUCUCUUGUCUGUCGGUCGUCGAUGGCUGCUACAAACCCGCCUCUUUGGCAUCUAUGA